GGCCGAUGCGACUGCUGGCUAGGUCACCGCCCCUUCAAGGCGGGGGACCGGGAUCGAUACCCGGAUCGGCUGCCA
RNAcentral lists this transfer RNA (75 nucleotides) under Amycolatopsis sp. DSM 110486. RNAcentral's name for it is "tRNA-Glu". Lineage: Bacteria; Bacillati; Actinomycetota; Actinomycetes; Pseudonocardiales; Pseudonocardiaceae. The record is from RNAcentral. RNAcentral also lists the same sequence under 3 other names.